This 470-nucleotide ribosomal RNA is filed under the name uncultured Anoxybacillus sp. RNAcentral describes it as "bacterial SSU rRNA". It matches the Rfam family "Bacterial small subunit ribosomal RNA", at positions 917 to 1381 of the family's 1533-position model. Lineage: Bacteria; Bacillati; Bacillota; Bacilli; Caryophanales; Anoxybacillaceae. The record is from RNAcentral.
GACGGGGCCGCACAAGCGGUGGAGCAUGUGGUUUAAUUCGAAGCAACGCGAAGAACCUUACCAGGUCUUGACAUCCCCUGACCAACCCGAGAGAUCGGGCGUUCCCCUUCGGGGGACAGGGUGACAGGUGGUGCAUGGUUGUCGUCAGCUCGUGUCGUGAGAUGUUGGGUUAAGUCCCGCAACGAGCGCAACCCUCGACCUUAGUUGCCAGCAUUCAGUUGGGCACUCUAAGGUGACUGCCGGCUAAAAGUCGGAGGAAGGUGGGGAUGACGUCAAAUCAUCAUGCCCCUUAUGACCUGGGCUACACACGUGCUACAAUGGGCGGUACAAAGGGUCGCGAACCCGCGAGGGGGAGCCAAUCCCAAAAAGCCGCUCUCAGUUCGGAUUGCAGGCUGCAACUCGCCUACAUGAAGUCGGAAUCGCUAGUAAUCGCGGAUCAGCACGCCGCGGUGAAUACGUUCCCGGGCCUU